Molecule: ribosomal RNA, 1246 nt
Filed under: Chloeia sp. r EEE-2022
Lineage: Eukaryota; Metazoa; Annelida; Polychaeta; Eunicida; Amphinomidae
Description: 16S ribosomal RNA
Rfam family: Bacterial large subunit ribosomal RNA (bases 803-1159)
Source: RNAcentral
AUAAUUCCUAUACCUUAUCAAUUCUACAAAAAUGAAACCAUCUUAUAAAAUAUUAAUCCAUACUUUAUUUAUUAUUUCCUGCAAAGACAAUACUUUUAACCUAAAGUAGUUAACCUUCAUACCUUUUGCAUCAUGGCUUUACAAUUAUACAGGAUACCCUCCACCCCGAAACCUGCUUAGAGCUGAUUUAACUUUGUGAAGAACUGCCCCAAAAAUGUGGAAAGAUUUUUGCUAAAAGUUAUCUCAGAGGCUACAUACCUCCCGCGACAGGUAAUAGCUGGCUCUGCCCAAAAUCCAUUUUAGUGGAUAUAGCUCUAUCAAAAUUAAAGCUAAAUAAAUAGAUAAAGGACAAGCUUUUUCUAAUAAACUAUUUUUUCUAAUCAACAAUUUUGUAGGCUUAGUAAUUGCCACCAAAAUAAUAUAUAAUAAUUAAUUUAUCCCUAACCAAUAAUUAAUCUAUACAAAUGUUAAAAUAAGGGCAAAUUUAGUUAAAACUACUUAACUGAUUUAUUAUGUAAAGAUUAAUAUUUACUUCAUAUUCCACAAACGACUAACAACAUUUUAUAAAGGAACUCGGCAAACACAAGCUCCGACUGUUUACCAAAAACAUAGCCUGUUGAAAAUAUAAUAACAGGUAUAUUCUGCCCAGUGAAGACUUAAACGGCCGCGGUACCCUGACCGUGCAAAGGUAGCAUAAUAGCUCGCCUCUUAAUUAGAGGCUGGAAUCAACGAACGCACGUGAGCCUAGCUGUCUCUAUAAAACACAAAUAACUUAACCUUCAGGUGAAAAGGCCUGAAUCCUACUAAAAGACAAGAAGACCCUAUCGAGCUUUAUUAUUCUUCAAUAAAACAAACUAUUAAUACACUUUUUUAAAUUGACUACUAAUUUAGUUGGGGCAACUGAGGAACAUCUAAAGCUUCCUCUUUAUUAUUCAAUAAACAGAGACCCAGAAAUUCUGAUCAAAGGAAAAAGCUACCGUAGGGAUAACAGGUUAAUUUUUCUCGAGAGUCCACAUUGACAGAAAAGUUUGACACCUCGAUGUUGGCUUAGGUUACCCCGCUAGUGCAGAAGCUAGUAAAGGUGGGUUUGUUCAUCCCAUAAAAACCUACAUGAGCUGAGUUCAGACCGGCGUAAGCCAGGUUAGCUUCUAUCUUUAGUUUUAAAAACCUUAUUUGUACGAAAGGACCAUACAGGUUAAAAUAUUUUUUUAUAUUUGAUCAAGUCUAAAAACUUAAUAAACCACUU